GUAAGGAAUAUUGGUCAAUGGAGGCAACUCUGAACCAGCCAUGCCGCGUGCAGGAAGACGGCCCUAUGGGUUGUAAACUGCUUUUAUACGGGAAUAAACCUCUCUACGUGUAGAGAGUUGAAUGUACUGUAAGAAUAAGGAUCGGCUAACUCCGUGCCAGCAGCCGCGGUAAUACGGAGGAUCCAAGCGUUAUCCGGAUUUAUUGGGUUUAAAGGGUGCGUAGGCGGCCUAUUACGUCAGGGGUGAAAGACGGUGGCUCAACCAUCGCAGUGCGCUUGAUACUGAUGGCCUUGAUUACACUUGAGGUAGGCGGAAUGUGACAAGUAGCGGUGAAAUGCAUAGAUAUGUCACAGAACACCAAUUGCGAAGGCAGCUCACUAAGGCGUUACUGACGCUGAGGCACUAAAGCGUGGAGAUCGAACAGGAUUAGAUACCCGAGUAGUCC
This 445-nucleotide ribosomal RNA is filed under the name uncultured bacterium. RNAcentral's name for it is "partial 16S ribosomal RNA". It matches the Rfam family "Bacterial small subunit ribosomal RNA", at positions 354 to 796 of the family's 1533-position model. The record is from RNAcentral.